UACGUAGGGGGCAAGCGUUGUCCGGAUUUAUUGGGCGUAAAGAGCGUGUAGGCGGCCAGGUAGGUCUGCUGUGAAAACUCGAGGCUCAACCUCGAGACGUCGGUUGAAACCGUAAGGCUAGAGUCCGGAAGAGGAGAGUGGAAUUCCCGGUGUAGCGGUGAAAUGCGUAGAUAUCUGGAGGAACACCGGUGGCGAAGGCGGCAUCCUGGACCGGUAUUGACGCUGAGGCGCGAAAGCCAGGGGAGCAAACGGG
Molecule: ribosomal RNA, 253 nt
Filed under: uncultured bacterium
Lineage: Bacteria
Description: partial 16S ribosomal RNA
Rfam family: Bacterial small subunit ribosomal RNA
Source: RNAcentral